AUACGGAGGGUGCGAGCGUUGUUCGGAAUUAUUGGGCGUAAAGAGCAUGUAGGCGGUCUGUUAAGUCUGGUGUGAAAGCCCGGGGCUCAACCCCGGAAGUGCAUUGGAUACUGGCAGACUUGAGUAUGGGAGAGGAAAGCGGAAUUCCGAGUGUAGGGGUGAAAUCCGUAGAUAUUCGGAGGAACACCAGUGGCGAAGGCGGCUGUCUGGACCAAUACUGACGCUGAGAUGCGAAAGCGUGGGGAGCGAACAGGAUUAGAAACCCUUGUAGUCC
This 274-nucleotide ribosomal RNA is filed under the name uncultured bacterium. Its description in RNAcentral is "partial 16S ribosomal RNA". It matches the Rfam family "Bacterial small subunit ribosomal RNA", at positions 523 to 796 of the family's 1533-position model. The record is from RNAcentral.